GGAAGAGUGUGCGCGCGUUCUCUUCCCUCGCGCUUGGCUGGUGUGGAUGUGAAGGAAAUGUGUUUUGGAAAGUUGUGUGUCCUUAUCUGUCAAGGAUAAAAGUGGAACAUCCUAAGUGUGUGAUUUUCUAUGAGCGAUGUAAGAAGAAGCUUGAAAAAAAAUAGUUACUUGGAAAAAAAAAUAUCUACGUUUAUCCUUAAAAAUCGCAAGAAAAGUGUGUAGAAAAGGGAGUAAAUAAGAAGAAGGAGAAGAAAUAAAAAAAAAAUUCGUCCGGGACCUGAGGUUGAUAAAAAGGAGAGUGAGGAAUCACGCUGAUGCCUUGAGAGCGAAGGAGCCCGAAGGAACCGAUGGCGAUCCCGUGGGCGGAGUCUCCCCGAAGGGCUUGAGAGCGGCCUGCUUCGCCCUCGUCCUUGGGAGAUCCUAAGAGGUCCUUCCGCAGACUCUUUGUCCUUCAGAAGCCUCGUUCUUAGCCGACCCUCCGGUAGGAUGGUGGUGGAGAGGUCCUGCAGCAAUGUGGAGGGGAACACGUACUUCCUCCUGCAGGAGAGGAGGAUCGUCAGGAAGAAGAAAAGGCAGUGUGUAGGAGUGCACGAGGGUCUCCUCCGGUGCGGAUCGGGGCGCGGGUCGUCCGCAGAGUGUCCGCACCAGUGCCCCCCUCCCCCUCCCCCCCAGGGAAGCCCCAUC
This is a long non-coding RNA of Penaeus chinensis, 684 nucleotides long. RefSeq lists it as uncharacterized. NCBI's taxonomy places the organism in Eukaryota, Metazoa, Arthropoda, Malacostraca, Decapoda, Penaeidae. The transcript has 3 exons. The record is from RefSeq and is a predicted model, not a curated record.